UGCCAGACUCCUACGGGAGGCAGCAGUGGGGAAUAUUGCACAAUGGGGGGAACCCUGAUGCAGCGACGCCGCGUGGGUGAAGGAGCACCUCGGUGCGUAAAGCCCUAUCGGCAGGGAAGAAAAGCGAACAGGUUCGCCUGGACGGUACCUGACUAAGAAGCCCCGGCUAACUACGUGCCAGCAGCCGCGGUAAUACGUAGGGGGCAAGCGUUACCCGGAUUCACUGGGUGUAAAGGGAGCGUAGACGGCCAUGCAAGCCAGGGGUGAAAGCCCGGGGCCCAACCCCGGGACUGCCCUUGGAACUGCAUGGCUGGAGUGCGGGAGGGGCAGGCGGAAUUCCUGGUGUAGCGGUGAAAUGCGUAGAUAUCAGGAGGAACACCGGUGGCGAAGGCGGAUUGCUGGACAGUAACUGACGCUGAGGCGCGAAAGCGUGGGGAGCAAACAGGAUUAGAUACCCCCGUAAGA
RNAcentral lists this ribosomal RNA (465 nucleotides) under uncultured bacterium. RNAcentral's name for it is "bacterial SSU rRNA". It matches the Rfam family "Bacterial small subunit ribosomal RNA", at positions 329 to 794 of the family's 1533-position model. The record is from RNAcentral.